ACAAUGAUAUUGCUGACUAUGUAGCAGUUAAGGAAAAAACUGAAGAACCAGUAGUUGAGGAAAAACAUGAAGAACCGGCAAUUGAAGAGAAAUCUGAAGAAUCAGCAUUAAUGAAAAAAACUGAAGAACCAGCGGUUGAGGUAAAACCUGAAGAACCGUCAGUGGAAAAGAAGCCUGAAGAACCAGCGGUUAGGAAAAAACCUGAAGAACCAGCAGUUAAUGAGGAACCUGAAAAAUCAGCAACGGAAGAGAAACCUGAAGAACCAAUUGUUGAGGAGAAACUUGAAGAACCAACUCUUGAAGAGAAACCUGGAAAAUCAGUAAUUGAAGAAACACCUGAAGAACCAACACUGGAAGUAACACCUAAAGAACAAGCGUUUAAAGAGAAACCAGAAGAACCAGCAGUUGAAGAGGAAAAAUCUGACAAGGUAACUCUUUUGGAAAAGGUGAGCAUCAAACAUUGUCACAAAUUUUAGCCAUCCUACUAGUUCUGUAUGUGCAAUAAUUCGUAUCAACUUAUCUAUUGAAAGACUAAGUGAAACUUUAAUUCUUCUUGCAGAAUAUACCAGUUGUAGAUUUCAAUGAUAAGACUGACAGUGUAAUUCCAUGCAAUACCAACGACGAUGUUGCUGAAUACGUAGCAGUUGAGGAAAACCUUGAAGAACCAACAGUUGAGGAGAAACCUGAAGAAUUAGCGGUUGAAGAGAAACCUGAAAAACCAGCAAUUGAGGAGAAAAGUGAAGAACCAAUAAUUGAGAAGAAACCUAAAGAACCAGCAGUUGAGGAGAAACCUGAAGAACAAACCGUUGAAGAGAAACUUGAAGAACCAACAAUUGAAGAUGAGAAACUUGAAAGGGUAACUCUCCUAGAAAAGGUGAGGAUCUAGCAUUGUCACAAAGUUUGUCCAUCCUAAUAGUUUUAUAUGUGCAAGCUUUUCAGAUCUGCUUAUCUAUUGAAAGACUAAGUGAAACUUUAAAUUCUUCUUACAGAAUAUGCCAGUUGUAGACUCGAACGACAAGACUGACUGUGAAAUUCCAUGCAACACCAACAAUGAUGUUGCUUACUAUCCAGCAGUUGAGGAAAAUCUUGAAAAAACAACAAUUGAGGAAACAACUGAUGAACCAGUGGUUGAAGAGAAACCUGAUGCACAAGCGAUUAAGGAGAAACCUGAAGUACCAACGAUUGAGCAGAAACUUGAAGAGUUAGCAGGAGAGGAAACCCAUGAAGAACUAGCAGUUGAAGAGAAGCUAGAAGAACCAAUUACUGAAGAGACACCUGCAGAACUAGUUAUUGAAGAGAAACAUGAAAACCCAACAAUUGAAGAGGAGAAACCUGAAACAGAAGCUCUCCUAAAGAAGGUUAGGAUUAAACACUGUUUCAAAAUUUAUCCAUCCUAUUAGCUUUAUAUGUGCAAGGAACUCACAUAUGUUAAUCUACUGAAAGACUAAGUCAAACUUUCAAGUUUUCUUGCAGAAUAUGCCAAUUGUAGACUCAAAGGACAAGAUUGACGUUGAAAGUCCAGGCAAUAACAACAAUGAUGGUGCUGACUAUCCAGCAGUUGAAGAUAAACCUGAAGAACUAACAGUUGAAGAAAAACAUGAAGAACAAGCAAUUGAAGAGAAACCUGAAGAACCAGUGGCCACAGAGAAACCUGAAGAACCAGCGAUUAAGGAAAAAGCUGAUGAACCAGCAGUGCAAGAGAAACCUGAAGAACCAGCUGUGGAAAAGAAACCUGAAGAACCAGCAGUCGAGGAGAAACUUGACGAACCACCAGUUGAAGAGAAAUCAGAAGAACCAGUAGUUGAACAAACACCUGCAGGACCAGCAUGGGAAGAAACAUCUAAAGAACUAGCAUUUGAAGAGAAACCUGAAGAACCAGCAGUUGAAAAAACACCUGAAGAACUAGCAGUUGGAAAGAACCCUGAAAAAACAGCAGUCGGAGAGAAACAUGAAAAAGUAACUCUCUUGGAAAAGGUGAGGAUCAAGCACAAUCACAAAUUUUAUCCAUCCUAUUAGUUAUGUAUGCGCAACAAUUCACAUUUGCCUGUUGGAAGAUUAAGUUAAACUUUAAAUUCUUCUUGCAGAAUAUACCAAUUAUAGAGUUAAACGAGAAGAAUAACAGUGCAACUCCAUGCAAUACCAACAAUGAUGUUGCUGACUAUCCAGCAGUUGAGGAAAAACCUGAAGAACCAGCGAUUGAGAAAAAACCUGAAGAACCAAUGGCUAAGGAGAAACUUGAAGAACCAAUUGUUGAGGAUAAACCUGAAAAAUCAGUGAUAGAGGAGAAAUCUGAAAAACUAGCAACUGAAGAAACACUUGGAGAGCAAGCAGGGGAGGAAACACCUGAAGCACUAGCAGUUGAAGAGAAACCUGACAAAUCAAC
This 2383-nucleotide long non-coding RNA is filed under the name Nicotiana tabacum (common tobacco). RNAcentral's name for it is "long non-coding RNA (NTAB_LNC000540)". Lineage: Eukaryota; Viridiplantae; Streptophyta; Magnoliopsida; Solanales; Solanaceae. The record is from RNAcentral.